GGCCAGUUAGCUCAGUUGGUUAGAGCUCAUACUUAAAAUAUCAGGGUCACAGGUUCAGAUCCCUGUACUGGCCA
Non-coding RNA from Galeopterus variegatus (Sunda flying lemur), 74 nucleotides. Lineage: Eukaryota; Metazoa; Chordata; Mammalia; Dermoptera; Cynocephalidae. The record is from the annotation of a RefSeq genome assembly.